RNAcentral lists this ribosomal RNA (158 nucleotides) under Phoma sp. As43. RNAcentral's name for it is "5.8S ribosomal RNA". It matches the Rfam family "5.8S ribosomal RNA". From Rfam's summary of the family: 5.8S ribosomal RNA (5.8S rRNA) is a component of the large subunit of the eukaryotic ribosome. It is transcribed by RNA polymerase I as part of the 45S precursor that also contains 18S and 28S rRNA. Lineage: Eukaryota; Fungi; Ascomycota; Dothideomycetes; Pleosporales; Didymellaceae. The record is from RNAcentral.
CAACUUUCAACAACGGAUCUCUUGGUUCUGGAAUCGAUGAAGAACGCAGCGAAAUGCGAUAAGUAGUGUGAAUUGCAGAAUUCAGUGAAUCAUCGAAUCUUUGAACGCACAUUGCGCCCCUUGGUAUUCCAUGGGGCAUGCCUGUUCGAGCGUCAUUU